RNAcentral lists this ribosomal RNA (407 nucleotides) under uncultured bacterium. RNAcentral's name for it is "partial 16S ribosomal RNA". It matches the Rfam family "Bacterial small subunit ribosomal RNA", at positions 30 to 526 of the family's 1533-position model. The record is from RNAcentral.
AUUGAACGCUGGCGGCAGGCCUAACACAUGCAAGUCGAGCGGAGCGGCGGACGGGUGCGUAAUGCCAAGGAAUCUGACUGGUAGUGGGGGAUAACGUUAGGAAACGGGCGCUAAUACUGCUACCUAUCAGAUUAGCCUAGGUCGGAGUAGCGAGAGGGUGGUGUAAAGGCCUACCAAGGCGACGAUCCGUAACUGUUCUGAGAGGAUGAUCAGUCCCACUGGGACUGAGACACGGUCCAGACUCCUACGGGAGGGAGCAGUGGGGAAUAUUGGACAAUGGGCGAAAGCCUGAUCCAGCCAUGCCGCGUGUGUGAAGAAGGUCUUCGGGUUGUAAAGCACUUUAGGUAGGGAGGCGUUAACAACAGAAUAAGCACCGGCUAACUUCGUGCCAGUAGCCGCGGUAAUUC